UGAGAUAUACCUGCCCAGUGACACAUGUUCAACGGCCGCGGUAUCCUAACCGUGCAAAGGUAGCAUAAUCACUUGCCUAUUAAUUGUAGGCUAGAAUGAAUGGGUUAACGAAAUAAAAGCUGUCUCAAUUAAUCACCUAAAAAUUAUUUUCUAUCUUAAGAAAGAUAGAUAAUCUCGAAGGACAAGAAGACCCUAUAGAGCUUAAUUUAAACUAUAAGACUAAAUUAUAGUAAAAUUCGGUUGGGGCGACCCAGGGCAUAAUAAUCACCCAAUACAUAAAAGAUAAAUAAAUCAAGUAAGUGACCCUUAAAAGAUCAUAAAAUCAAGCUACCUUAGGGAUAACAGGCUAAUCCUACUCAAGAGUCCUUAUCAACAGUAGGGUUUGGCACCUCGAUGUUGGCUUAGGGUAUCUAUAUAGCGCAAAAGCUAUAUAAAGAAGGUUUGUUCAACCAAUAAUUCCCUACGU
RNAcentral lists this ribosomal RNA (466 nucleotides) under Amynthas exiguus austrinus. Its description in RNAcentral is "partial large subunit ribosomal RNA". It matches the Rfam family "Bacterial large subunit ribosomal RNA", at positions 1849 to 2601 of the family's 2925-position model. The record is from RNAcentral. Lineage: Eukaryota; Metazoa; Annelida; Clitellata; Crassiclitellata; Megascolecidae.